RNAcentral lists this ribosomal RNA (563 nucleotides) under Streptomyces sp. 428F09. RNAcentral's name for it is "bacterial SSU rRNA". It matches the Rfam family "Bacterial small subunit ribosomal RNA", at positions 93 to 670 of the family's 1533-position model. Lineage: Bacteria; Bacillati; Actinomycetota; Actinomycetes; Kitasatosporales; Streptomycetaceae. The record is from RNAcentral.
UAGUGGCGAACGGGUGAGUAACACGUGGGCAAUCUGCCCUGCACUCUGGGACAAGCCCUGGAAACGGGGUCUAAUACCGGAUACGAGCCUCCUCCGCAUGGUGGAGGUUGGAAAGCUCCGGCGGUGCAGGAUGAGCCCGCGGCCUAUCAGCUUGUUGGUGAGGUAACGGCUCACCAAGGCGACGACGGGUAGCCGGCCUGAGAGGGCGACCGGCCACACUGGGACUGAGACACGGCCCAGACUCCUACGGGAGGCAGCAGUGGGGAAUAUUGCACAAUGGGCGAAAGCCUGAUGCAGCGACGCCGCGUGAGGGAUGAAGGCCUUCGGGUUGUAAACCUCUUUCAGCAGGGAAGAAGCGAAAGUGACGGUACCUGCAGAAGAAGCGCCGGCUAACUACGUGCCAGCAGCCGCGGUAAUACGUAGGGCGCAAGCGUUGUCCGGAAUUAUUGGGCGUAAAGAGCUCGUAGGCGGCUUGUCGCGUCGGUUGUGAAAGCCCGGGGCUUACCCCCGGGUCUGCAGUCGAUACGGGCAGGCUAGAGUUCGGUAGGGGAGAUCGGANUUCU